Molecule: ribosomal RNA, 492 nt
Filed under: uncultured bacterium
Lineage: Bacteria
Description: partial 16S ribosomal RNA
Rfam family: Bacterial small subunit ribosomal RNA
Source: RNAcentral
AGUGAACGCUGGCGGUAGGCCUAACACAUGCAAGUCGAACGGCAGCACAGUAAGAGCUUGCUCUUACGGGUGGCGAGUGGCGGACGGGUGAGGAAUACAUCGGAAUCUACUUUUUCGUGGGGGAUAACGUAGGGAAACUUACGCUAAUACCGCAUACGACCUACGGGUGAAAGCAGGGGAUCUUCGGACCUUGCGCGAUUGAAUGAGCCGAUGUCGGAUUAGCUAGUUGGCGGGGUAAAGGCCCACCAAGGCGACGAUCCGUAGCUGGUCUGAGAGGAUGAUCAGCCACACUGGAGCUGAGUCACGGUCCAGACCCCUACGGGAGGCAGCCGUGGGGAGUGGUGGAAAAUGGGCGCAAGCCUGAUCCAGCCUUACCGCGUGAGUGAAGAACGCCUUCUGGUUGUCCCGCUCUUCUGCUGGGAAAGAAAAGCAGCGCGUCAAUACCCCGCUGUUCAGACGCUACCCAAAGAAUAAGCACCGCCCAACUUCGUG